UAUAGCAUAGGCACAUGCAAUAAUGGCAGGGCCAGCUAAUUUCUGUAAUGGGUCAGGCAACAAAGUACUCCAGGAAAUAGGUACCAAAUGGAUGUCCAGACCUGGAAUACAUUUCUGAAGAUAUUGAGCUAUUGAGUUUUUUAUAUUCUAAUACCUUGUUUAGGAAAGGACAAUGAUGUCUUUACCGCCUUUCUAGGCAAUGACACAUUUUAAACAUCUGCGUUUUACUAUAUAGAUUUCUAAUAUCCCUCUAACUAAUUGGCAAGCUCUCAUGUAGUUUCAUUAAUAAUAUUUGAAGUAUUUACAUAGCCAUCUUGGAGUGGCUAUGUUAGGGCCCUUCAAAUGCUAGGGAUUAGAUUAUAGUUUAUUUAAAUAGAUACGAAUACACACAUAUUAUACUGUUUCAUACCAGAGUUUUAAAAAGUAAAUUAUUUUUGGAUAAUAUAACAGGUAUUAUUAUUCAUUUUUAUUUCUAUUAAUAUCAGUAUUAGUCCCAUGUUCCAAAGGAUAACUGAGUCUCCAAAAAUUUAAAUAAUGUGCUCUGAAUCAUACAAUGAAUAUGGAAAAAAAUUUAUGGCUAUAAAUCAGAACUUAGCUCUGGGCUUUUAUCAUCCACGAUAAAGAGGCAAACACAGUAGGUUCCAUAGCUUUCUUAUGGUUAACAAAGAAUGCAGAGAAGUAAUGGAUAUGUAUGUGAAGACUUUUAUAUAAAUCAUUGUGGACAAUGUAAUAGACAAUACAGUAGUUAUUAAUAGUUUGAACAAUGCAGAGAUGUUCCCAUGUUUUAUUAUCUCCUACAUUGUCUCAGAGAAAGGCAAGGGUAUGACAUCUACAUGAAGAGUUAAAACACAUGCUGGUGCUGAAAUGCUUGCUGAUGACCUGACUUAAUAAAGAGGUGAAGAAUGGAUGAUGAAUAUGUCCAACAUAAUAUUUUCUUCUCUUUUUAUGAGGGGGUAUGAUGAAUAAGAAUCACAUGAAGGUCUUUCACGACAUAUGGCCUACAUACAAUACAUGCCUAUAUCCCUAUGACAGUGUUUUUCUUUUUAAUAUUACCUCAGUGAUCAUUUGGCAGGAAUUAAAUGCAAGGCACUAUAAAAAUCACCAUUUCUAGCAAGUACUUUCAGAAUAGGAAUUCUCUGCUACUGACUGAAGAAUGUUUCUACAUGCUUUUAAUUUUCAGUAUAAAAAUCAAAUUUGUAAACCCACUUUUUUAUCAUCUUUUCUCAUAUCAGUUCCCCCUUGACCCUAUUUUUCUGCAUAUGAAUGACUGCAACUCUUCUGAUGCACUGUCCUGUGCCUUUGCCUUUAUCCCUGUUGUCUGCUCCCCCUGCCACACCCUUUCUAUGACCUCUCCCAGCCACCGUCUCCCAGCUUUUCUUGUCUUUUAUUGUGUUUCCUGCAUACCACAUAACUUGACAUACCACAGGUCCUCAAGAUUGGGCAUGAAUGCAUCUAUUCAUUUUAAUUUAUUACAUUAUAUCUGGUCCAUUUAGAUCCCCCAAGAUUUAGGUUAGCAAUAGGCUCCUACAGAUGCUGAUGGUUACAAGAGAAGUGACUAACAUAGUACAAUCAGUAAAUCUAAGGACGUUCUUGAAAACUACACAUGAACUUGGGCAAAUGUGCUGGAGCAGACAAUAAAAAAUUAUGCUUAUGGUAUACUUAGGUUUCUUGUUUUGCAAAGCAUACUAGCUACUUAUGUUUGCAUGCUUCUAAAAAAAUCAUUAUUAACUACAAAUAUUUCCUCACAAACCUAGUGAUACAGACUGACAUAGUUCCCAGUCAUUGGCUGGGGUACUUCACCCAUCCAGCAGCACAGGUGAGGUCUGGCCAGCACAUGUUAAAAAAAUGUCAAAGUCCUCAAGGUACCUAACACGUCC
This 1877-nucleotide long non-coding RNA is filed under the name Sus scrofa (pig). RNAcentral describes it as "lncRNA (ENSSSCG00065051954.1)". Lineage: Eukaryota; Metazoa; Chordata; Mammalia; Artiodactyla; Suidae. The record is from RNAcentral.